GGUUGAGUGAAGGCAUGGAGGGGACUUGUUGGGGGUGACCUCCACCGGGGAGCCCGAGUACCCAACGUCAGCAGCCUGGUCCGGGACCUCUGAACACCGAAAAAUAGACAAAGACCCAAUUUGCUGUGUGGAAAGACAGAUGCUGAAAUGUUUUAAGCAUCAAAGCCAGAAAGAAAGAAGAAGAAGUGGGAGAUUGUUUGCCAACUGAAGAAUUUAAAGCCAAGCUACCUCGUCAAAAAGGGCUGGAUGACCUCGUGGACAGGAAGUGAAGUGGUUGGUGGGGGUCCUUUCUUGUUGUGGAUGACCCUGCCUGGUGGUCUGGGCAUCACUGCAGCAGCAGAGGCCGGGUACAGCCCCUGACUGUCCGUGUCCUGGUACAGCGCUGCGUGCCUCGCCUCCGCCUCGUUCUUCCCCACCACGAACCGGGGCAGCGGCAGGUCUUUGACUGAGGAAACAGGAAUCCAUUCACAGGAUUAGAGGAAAGAUUACUUUCAAAUUGAUUCUCGUGUGGUUUAAUGCACUAAACUCAAGACAGCGCCCACUCUCUGUUGCACUUAGAUCUUCAGAUAUCAUCAGUCUGAAAUGUGGAGUGGAUUCUAGCCCUGCCACUAUAACUAUAUUAUGGGAUUAUUGAUCGAUGUAUGGGGGGGGACAUGACCUCGAUCAUUUUUGCUGACCUGGAUACUCUGUGUUUCUUUUUUUAAAUGGAUAUCAAUGAA
Molecule: long non-coding RNA, 719 nt
Organism: Eleginops maclovinus (Patagonian blennie)
Lineage: Eukaryota; Metazoa; Chordata; Actinopteri; Perciformes; Eleginopidae
Exons: 3
Source: RefSeq, a predicted model, not a curated record